CGGACGGGUGAGUAAUACAUAGGAAUCUGCCCAGUAGCGGGGGACAACUCGGAGAAAUCCGAGCUAAUACCGCAUACGCCCUACGGGGGAAAGCAGGGGAUCUUCGGACCUUGCACUAUUGGAUGAGCCUAAGUCAGAUUAGCUUGUUGGUGGGGUAACGGCCUACCAAGGCGACGAUCUGUAGCUGGUCUGAGAGGACGAUCAGCCACACUGGGACUGAGACACGGCCCAG
Molecule: ribosomal RNA, 232 nt
Filed under: uncultured bacterium
Lineage: Bacteria
Description: partial 16S ribosomal RNA
Rfam family: Bacterial small subunit ribosomal RNA
Source: RNAcentral